Molecule: long non-coding RNA, 4481 nt
Organism: Mugil cephalus (flathead mullet)
Lineage: Eukaryota; Metazoa; Chordata; Actinopteri; Mugiliformes; Mugilidae
Exons: 3
Source: RefSeq, a predicted model, not a curated record
GGAGGUGGAGGAGCAGCGAGGGAGUUUCGGCAGCAGGAUCGAUGGACCACAGUACAUCUGUGCCUGGUUUCAGACUCUACGGGCGGAAAUACAUACCUCCCUCAGCGAGAAGGACAAAAAACAUCAUGCAACCUGCAUGCAACAUGAUCCAUGACACUGUUGCAAAUUUGGAAGCUUUUAAAGGACAUUUUUCUGCUGUAAAGAGGAUAUCAUUUCUGUCUGAGGAUCUUAAUGAGGGGGACACUCCCGUGGGAAUCCUCUGCUAUGAGGACUCCAGUGCUGCAAACACAGCAUCGCCACAACUAAACCCCUCAAGAGAGGGGAUCAUCCUAGAGGGAAGCCUUGUAAUGGACGUACUCAACAACCUACCUCAGGGAAUGUGCCUCUUGUUUGGCUUUACCUACACACUCCACCUGCAGUACCCGAAGUGCUUAAAAAAUACAUUUGCCUUCAUUCAGCAGGUAAUGCUAAACUUGGGUCAAAGUGAGCGACCUCCCAAGGUUCAAAAGCUGAAGAAUGAUCUUGCAGUUUAAGACACAUUUAUGCUCAUGACACAAUUAUUCAUGUCCAUGUCUUGCUGAAAUAAUUCUACAGAGGACACAUUUUAGAAAGUUGCAGGGUUUACAAAAAUUUAAAAAAAAAACUCUGUUCCUCACUGCAUAGUUGUUCUUAAUGCCUGCUACUGUGUGUGGCACACAUGACAUACAGUUUUUACUUCUGCACUCGCAGUAUGCUGCUACAUGGUUAGUGUUGUUGUUCUUUGUUCAUACUUGAAAAUCGUUCACAGAGCAAAAAAUUUAAAAACUAUGUUGUGGUUGUAUUUGGAAGUAAAUCGUGGCUUUUAAGCUUCCCCACCUUUUAUAGAGAGCAAGACAACACAUGAACAAACUUGUACUUUUUUAUACAUUUUACUAAACAAUAAAAGACAUAAAAAACAAACACACAAAAAUGUAAUUCCCAAAUGUAUCUAAACUUGGCAAACUCCAUUUGUAGUUACAUAACAAGAUAACUACUUUGAGGCCCUUGAAACAUGGACAUGAUUUUGUGUGAGUGGCAGCCUUGUGGUAGAAGACUGUCUCUUCCAAACUCGACAAAGCAGUGAGUGCCAUUGGUAUUAUUUAUUGACUAAGCGCUGAUGAAAGGUUACCCAAAGUUAUACAACGGUGGCCGAAUUGACAAAACACAAGCAAAUCUAGAGAACGCAACAAAUACAACACAACCAAAACCAGAAACAUGCCACAAAAAGUCCCAAUAUCAGCAAACAGAAACACACAAACGACAACGGAAUUGUUUCCAGGACCCUAUGAAGUGAUGAACUCCCUGGGACAAGAUGAACUUGUUGUUCAAACCUUUAUGGCUUUUGGAGUUGUUGAUUGUUAUCAUUAUUAUUAUAACUACUCAAUUCUUAAGAAGCAUUUUGCUUUAUGACUACCAAUUCAAUUAAUCUGAUAAAAUACACAACUCAUUUUGCAAAGUUAUGCUAACGGCAUGUUAACUGUCUAUUACAUUAAUAGCAACUUUCAGACUCAGACAUUCACAAGAGAUAAGUUAAACUACAAGAAUAUUUUGCUGACAUGACUCACUUUGAAUCACUUUGGUUCAUUUUUAGUGGUUAUCAGUUAAAAUAUCUUCCCAUUCUUACAUUCACUCAUUUCCAGGUAGAGGAUGGUUUUGUUUGUGUUGUAUUUGCAGUGCACCUCUUGUCAAAUGGAUGAAAAUGUCUUCUUAAUUUGCAUGAUGUGCUUUCUCAGGUUACAGCGAUAAUGAUACUUCAAUGAUACUUUGAAAACGCCCAGUAACAACAUGUUAGGACGGUUCAAAAUAAAAUGUCAUGUAUUAUUUACCAUAGAAACACUAUGAUCUUGUAAAAAUGUGUGGAUUUUGUGCAAAAGCAAACAAAGAAUACAAUAAUAACUUUAACCAACUAAACUCUGUACAACGAUGUGCUGAGAACAGCCUCAAAGUUGAUUUAGAAAACCAGCUUCAUUUUGAUAAUAUGUCUGCAUUUUUACUCAUCCCCGUGUACACACAAAAAGUAGUGAGCACACUCAGACAGCCACGCACGACUCUUCAGCGAUGCAUGUAGAGUGAACCAGUCAUGUACAGUCCUAAAUCCAACUCUGUAAUCUGUCUGUGAACCACUGUCAGUGAGAGGCUCCAGUCUCAAGAUGGGAAUUUUGGGGACAGAAGUUAAAACUGUAUUGUAAAUUGAUGGUACAUUAUAUCUCAGUCCACCUCCUCUGUUAUAAGAGAAGCUUUUUCCAAUCUGACACGGAUGGUUUGACUGCUCUCUAAAACCUUGAAAAUGUUGCUCCAAUACCAGUUAGGUACCAACAAAGUGUGGCUCAUCUCUGUAUUAAAAGAAAAGCAAUAUUAGCAAUGGCUAAUGGGACUAAACUUUGAUCAAAAAAUCAGAGUAAAUAACUUUUGAAUGUUGAAUCUCUAACAAAUCUCACCACAAUAAUAAACCAUAACAUAAUCCCCAAACACCCCCAUGAAUGGUUGAGUCUGGCAACCUCUUUGAUGAUGUCACCAAGACUUUAAAAGCAGGAAGUGAGCUUUUCCUCCUUUUGUUCCUGGAACACAUAAGUAACUCAGUGCAAAAUAAAAACUGAAAUAAACUAACUUAAAACUUAAAGAUGCUUGUCCGAUACCUGUCUGAUUUUAACUGAAAAUGUUGAUGUAUGAAUUGUAAACCAAUUUAAUACAAGCACAGACAGACCUGGGAUAGUCAAUGUCUGCAUCUUAUGGAAUAAAGGUAGAAGUGAUGAAUAAAUAUUAAAGCAGCAUGAUCAAGUGGAAUGGUCAAUAGGACAAAUGGCAUGUUCUCACUCACUUUGUCACAUGCAUUUACACAAAUACUCCACAAACAAAUACAGCUUCUUCUGAUAAUUAUUGUAAUCAAAGUAAAACAUUCACCAAGUUGCAAUAACUUAAGAAACAAAAACAUAAAAACUGUAUGUUUUUAUCACUGACCUAUUUGUUUAUUUUUGUAAAAUGUGAAUCCUACUUCUGGCAGAAUCACUUCUUCAUGGUAUAUUUGCUGCUCAGUCUGUGUUCCUGCCACAGGCAAGAUUCACAUUACAGUUGUUUGUACAAGGUGCAUAUAAAUGGUCCUUAUGUAAAAGUUAAAUAAAAAUGUUAUUUUGUGGUUGGUGGGAGGAAACAUGGUAAUGUUUCAGCAUAUCAUUGUUUUAAUGUGUUUCUGUUGCAUACAGCUUUGGGAGCCCAGGAUUAAAAUCCUUGUUUUGAUGCAGAUAAAAUCUGUUUGAAUCUUUCCAUCUCUCAGAUUUUCUUCCAGAUCUUGUGAAUAGCAUAAUAAUGAUGAUUCUAAAGAUUAUUUUUGCAAUAUAUUGUGACUCGUCUUAAUAUGUCCAACUGAAUGUAAACAAUGCAGAUAUUUGCUAUUUAAUGUACAGUACAGUUCUAUAUAAUCCCCAUUUUCCUUAACUUGACCUGCAAUGGUAGAUCUAAAAGCUAUGUCAACAUAUGGGUCAAAUUUGUACAGUGUUCAGGGUACCAACAUUUUAACAACCUCUUCAAAAGUAUAACAUGAACAACAAUAAUAAUUAAUAAUAAUUAUAAUAAUAAUGACACUAUUUACUAUUUAGACACUCUAAAUAGAUCUGUUGUUUAAAAUUUGGUGUAGACACUGUCAAAAUUGAUCCAGAACAACAAUUCCACAGCAUUAAAUAAGUUAAUAACAAUAUGUAUGGAAGCAACAUCUUUCCCAUUCAAACAAGUCUUAAAAAUGCUUUGCUUAAAGUUAACAGUGAGGCUGCUAUACAUCACUACGACACAUCCAAGUCAUUUAGCAUAUAAGGACAAUUAAAUGCAAAAGUAGGUAAAUUUUAUUACGUUUAGUGCAUAGAGAAGCACACCACCUAUUCACCUAUUGUGCUACAUACUAACAAGUACAACAAACAAAUAAGCACUUAAAGGUGUGUGAUAAAAUGUGAUCAUAUGUAGUCACUUUAGUGUAUAUUAAGAGAAAUUGUGUUUUAUGACUGAAAUAAUGAAAACUGAAUCAAAUCCAAAGUUUUAAUUUGAAAAAAAAAAAUGUUUUUGUGGUUGUCUGCAAUAACAGUCAAUCACAUAUCAAUAUAGCUUUGAAUAUAGCUUUUUCUUCUGUGCAAUAUUCUCAGAAUAGUAUAUUGUUUAAAUAUUUGUCAAUGCAUUUAUAUAAUCAUAAGGACAGUUCAAUAUGACAUACACAGUCUCUGCCUAAAGAGCGACAGUCAAGACCAAGCCAGGGCGCCAUUCUGGUGUCAGUGUGCGUCAAAACCAGAAGUGACAGAGGAGUCCCAGGACGUCAGCGCCACUGGGAGGAUCCAGGCCUUAUUGGAAAAUGAUCACGACUCAGUUGCAUUUCAUAUGAUAAACAUUUAUUUUACACAGGAUUCAGCAUCAAGAAUCUGGAACAGUGGAAACACAAAUAAACAGAUGAACAGGUGCAUCUUAAAGACAGGAUCUGAUGACCU